This is a long non-coding RNA of Limulus polyphemus (Atlantic horseshoe crab), 105 nucleotides long. RefSeq lists it as uncharacterized. The transcript has 3 exons. Lineage: Eukaryota; Metazoa; Arthropoda; Merostomata; Xiphosura; Limulidae. The record is from RefSeq and is a predicted model, not a curated record.
UUGUUUAAUUUCUUAUUAGUUGGUAGUGACACAUUCGAUUAUAUGAUUACUAUAUGUACAGUAAAUUACAUAAAUAAAACCAUUCGAUCUUAUCAAAAGAAGCAA